GUGCAGCAGGCGCGAAAACUUUACAAUGCCGGCAACGGCGAUAAGGGGACCUCGAGUGCCAGGUUACAAAUCUGGCUGUCGUGAUGCCUAAAAAGCAUUGCAUAGCAAGGGCCGGGCAAGACCGGUGCCAGCCGCCGCGGUAACACCGGCGGCUCGAGUGGUAACCGUUAUUAUUGGGUCUAAAGGGUCUGUAGCCGGCCGGAUAAGUCUCUUGAGAAAUCCAGCAGCUCAACUGUUGGGCUUUCAGGAGAUACUGUUCGGCUCGAGGCCGGGAGAGGUGAGAGGUACUUCAGGGGUAGGGGUGAAAUCUUGUAAUCCUUGAAGGACCACCAGUGGCGAAGGCGUCUCACCAGAACGGACCUGACGGCAAGGGACGAAAGCCAGGGGCACGAACCGGAUUAGAUACCCGGGUAGUCC
RNAcentral lists this ribosomal RNA (417 nucleotides) under uncultured Methanosaeta sp. RNAcentral's name for it is "bacterial SSU rRNA". It matches the Rfam family "Archaeal small subunit ribosomal RNA", at positions 330 to 747 of the family's 1478-position model. Lineage: Archaea; Methanobacteriati; Methanobacteriota; Methanomicrobia; Methanotrichales; Methanotrichaceae. The record is from RNAcentral.